RNAcentral lists this transfer RNA (73 nucleotides) under Cordylochernes scorpioides. Its description in RNAcentral is "tRNA-Thr". It matches the Rfam family "tRNA". From Rfam's summary of the family: Transfer RNA (tRNA) molecules are approximately 80 nucleotides in length. Their secondary structure includes four short double-helical elements and three loops (D, anti-codon, and T loops). The record is from RNAcentral. Lineage: Eukaryota; Metazoa; Arthropoda; Arachnida; Pseudoscorpiones; Chernetidae.
UCCAGGGUAGCCUAGUGGACAUGGCAUCUGCCCAGUAAGCGGAACAAUGUGGGUUCGAUUCCCAUCCCUGGAC